Molecule: ribosomal RNA, 246 nt
Filed under: uncultured bacterium
Lineage: Bacteria
Description: partial small subunit ribosomal RNA
Rfam family: Bacterial small subunit ribosomal RNA
Source: RNAcentral
AGAAUCAACGCUGGCGGCGUGCCUAACACAUGCAAGUCGAUCGAGAAAGUGGAGCAAUCCAUGAGUAAAGAGGCGCACGGGUGAGUAACACGUGACUAACCUACCCUCGAGUGGGGAAAUAACCUGGGGAAACCCGGGCUAAUACCGCAUAAUACCCACGGGUCAAAGGAGCAAUUCGCUUGAGGAGGGGGUCGCGGCAGAUUAGUUAGUUGGCGGGGUAAUGGCCCACCAAGACGAUGAUCUGUA